RNAcentral lists this ribosomal RNA (501 nucleotides) under uncultured archaeon. RNAcentral's name for it is "bacterial SSU rRNA". It matches the Rfam family "Archaeal small subunit ribosomal RNA", at positions 16 to 496 of the family's 1478-position model. The record is from RNAcentral.
GCCGGACCCCACUGCUAUCGGGAUAGGACUNNNANNUGCUAGUCGAGUGACUCAGGCAAAACGAGUCACGGCACACAGCUCAGUAACACGUGGCUAAUCUGCCCUUGGGACUAGAACAACCCCGGGAAACUGGGGCUAACUCUUGAUAGGUGAAGAACUCUGGGAUGAGUCUUUGCCUAAAUAGGUUCACGUUAUCCUCGUGAACUUGCCCAAGGAUGAGGCCGCGACCGAUCAGGUUGUUGGCGAGGUAAUGGCUCACCAAGCCUUUUACCGGUGCGGGCCGUGGGAGCGGGAGCCCGGAGAUGGGUACUGAGACAAGGACCCAGGCCCUACGGGGCGCAGCAGUCGCGAAACCUUUGCAAUACACGAAAGUGUGACAGGGCUAUCCCGAGUGCCAUCCGCUGAGGAAGGCUUUUACCCAGUCUAGAAAGCUGGGGGAAUAAGGAGAGGGCAAGUCUGGUGUCAGCCGCCGCGGUAAUACCAGCUCUCCGAGUGGUGUGG